Molecule: long non-coding RNA, 1336 nt
Filed under: Anser cygnoides (Swan goose)
Lineage: Eukaryota; Metazoa; Chordata; Aves; Anseriformes; Anatidae
Description: lncRNA (ENSACDG00005006278.1)
Source: RNAcentral
UCUGCACUGAAGGCUCCUUGUUUACUUCCUAUCACCCAGUUUAUACAGGGAAAUUAAAUUGGUUUGAGUAACCUGCAGACUUGACAGUCUCAUUUUCUAGUUCUCAAGCACUAAGUGAACUGUUUUGUUUAGGUUUCCAACAUUAUGAGAAAAUGUUUAAGUAAGAAACACAUCACCUGCUUCUUGCUGGCCAGACUUGAAUGUUGUAAACACUUCUAUUCAAGUUGUGCUUUAUAAUUAUUUCCCCACACGUUGCUACUUAUUUGCACAAACCAAUCUUUGGUCUGAGACCUAAGUUAACUUUACCCCUUAAACUUCAUGGUAGCAGUUUUAGUUUAAAAAAAAAAAAAAAAAGAAAGAAAGAACUCCACAAAUUUCUUUUUUCCCUCUUCUGAGAAAGAAAUCCCACAUAGCACAGUAGCAAUGCCAGCAGGGGCGAAAUGGAAAACCUGAACCCCAGGCGUGAGGCAGAGCCCGGCACCCCAAAUGCCAGCAGGCAGGGAUGCUUCUAGAAGACAAAAUGGCGCCGCCCAGCCAGCCACCGCAUUUGGUUCUCGUUUUUUAUUUUUAUUUAUUUUUAUAUUUAUUUUUUUUAUUUGCUUGUGUGGAGUUAGGAUUCUUUCAGGAUUCCUAUUGGGAAUACUGUAGCUAUCUCCCUGUGCUCUCUUUCUAGUGGGUUAUUCUGUGUUGAGAGAACUUCUGCAGAAAUUGCAGUGGCGGUUUAGAUGGGCUUAAAUUUUUAAAGCAUGAGGGUUUAAACCGUUUACUUAAAAGCAAUCCAGAUUUUUUUUUGUUUGUUUAGAUUUUUCUAUAGUUCUGAUUUCUUAUCCAAGUGGUAAGAGAAAUAGAGUACUAAGAUGUCAAACUGCACAUUUGUGGUGCAGGCUGCACUGAUGGACCCGCAGUGGCCCUGGAGCCCGUAGAGAUUCCGUGGAGAUCUAGCUGUGGCUGACAACUACAAUACAGGUGAUGGCUUGGGAAGAAUGUUGCCGCAACAGCCCCAGUGCAAGAGAACCACGGCUAUUCCAGGAGUUCACCCAGACUGUUCGUGAGACCAGCCUGUUCUGGAAAUUGUACCACCUUGAUUAUGUUAUUACAGUUAAUGAAUUGGACACCAGGUGUGGUAUGGACUACGAGAAAGAAAAGCUCUGAAAUUCUUAUAUAUGGAAGCUGGUAAUGGUUGCUUCUUUAUUUGUAUUUCCUUGUUAUGAACGAUUCUGCAUCCUUGCUUGCUUGCAAGUGUGUAUUAAGUUCUCAGAUGCAUCAUGAAUUUUGCUUUUCAUCGAAAGAUCUCCUACAAAUCUAAUAGAAAUAAAAAAUGUAUUGCAUUAUACCA